RNAcentral lists this ribosomal RNA (385 nucleotides) under uncultured Desulfocapsa sp. Its description in RNAcentral is "bacterial SSU rRNA". It matches the Rfam family "Bacterial small subunit ribosomal RNA", at positions 999 to 1382 of the family's 1533-position model. Lineage: Bacteria; Pseudomonadati; Thermodesulfobacteriota; Desulfobulbia; Desulfobulbales; Desulfocapsaceae. The record is from RNAcentral.
CCUUGAAAGAGGGAAGUGCCUCGCAAGAGGAGCUUGGAGCAGGUGCUGCAUGGCUGUCGUCAGCUCGUGUCGUGAGAUGUUGGGUUAAGUCCCGCAACGAGCGCAACCCUUGUCUUUAGUUGCCAUCAUUUAGUUGGGCACUCUAAAGAGACUGCCGGUGUCAAACCGGAGGAAGGUGGGGAUGACGUCAAGUCCUCAUGGCCUUUAUGACCAGGGCUACACACGUACUACAAUGGCCGGUACAAAGGGCAGCCACUUAGCGAUAAGGAGCCAAUCCCGUAAAGCCGGUCUCAGUCCGGAUUGGAGUCUGCAACUCGACUCCAUGAAGUUGGAAUCGCUAGUAAUCGCAGAUCAGCACGCUGCGGUGAAUACGUUCCCGGGCCUU